Panicum virgatum (switchgrass) is the source of this 2605-nucleotide long non-coding RNA. RefSeq lists it as uncharacterized. The record is from RefSeq and is a predicted model, not a curated record. Lineage: Eukaryota; Viridiplantae; Streptophyta; Magnoliopsida; Poales; Poaceae. The transcript has 2 exons.
AAAAUAGCCUUUGGCUCCGACUAAUCAUCGGCCUCCCAGGAGAACGACAUCUCCUCAUGCCGCCCUCCCCAACCGCCCAACCCGCUACCCGCGCUCGACCUUGCCUCCAUGGGUGCCCCUCCCUACCCUCGCCGCCGAUGCCCUGACCCUGCCGCCUUCUGCAAGUGCAACGCGCCGCCACCGGCUCGAGGUUGAGGAAGCGGAGCUCCGCCGCCGACUACCGUCGUCGAAUCGAGGCCGGCCGCGCCUGAUCCUCCACCGAAUCGAGGCCAGCCGCGCCUGAUCUGCCACCUUUCUCGCCUCCGUCGAGUUCCGAUUGUCCCCGCCUCCACCGAGUACCUUGGGCGAAUCAAGGGCGGGCACUGCACGGAGGAGCGGAUUCGCUUGGGGGGAGGGCCCACCUCGGCCGGAUCAGAACUGCUUCGCCUCUGCCGCCUCCUAGAUUUGAUCUAGGCGUUGAAGAGAAGUUAGGGCCGGCGCUGCCAGCGGUCAGUGUGCUCGCGUCGACCCCUGCCCUUGAGGCCGUCCGGCACUGUGAGGCUAUCCUGGAGAAGAUGGGUCUGAGCAGCCGUGGGCGCAAGUGGCUGCGGCGAUGGGCAGCAGUUCAGCCGGCCACAUCAGGGCAGAGCUCCACCGUGCGCUCCGACCGGCGUCGUGCCAAACUCAGAUACAUGAACCUUUUUGUAGCCCUGCGUCUGUCAAUCUCUAAUGCAAACAAGUGCCUGCAUUUGUCAAAUGCAUACAUUAUCUAUAGGAACUCCAAAUGCAUAGAUUAUCUAUAGGAACUUGUGAGUCGAAUCUGUUAGCAUCUUGGCAAAUGUGGGUCUUUGAAUGAAACUCCUAUGUGUGUCCAUGCAUGAUUUGUUUGAAAUACCGGAGGAUGGCAUGCAAAUAUUGGACAUGGUUGUGUGUAGCACUUCUUAUGCACAUCCAUCACUCCUCUCUGAUUUGGAGACUGUUUUAUCUGUUAGUAAUAUAUCUAGUAGUAGCUUGCUAUAUGUGUGUCCUUGAACCUGUAAGUUGACUUAAAAAAUACUAGUACAUUUCAAGACUGAUGUGUCUAUGAUAUGAUUUUGAUCUUUCAACAACACAACUUAUUUUGGCCUUGUGCAAUGUGUUGGCUAUUUUGUGCUCACAAAUACAAUGAGUACAAUGUCACUCAGAUGUUCAAAAAAGGCCCUUGUGUGUAGCACUUGUUUCUAUGCACGUAUAUUAAUGGCUCUCCAGGCUAAUCUGGGGCCCGUUUGUUUCUGUUGCCCUACUCGCGCUACAAAAAGAAUUUUGCGUGCAUGGAGUACUAAAUGAAGUUUAUUUGCAAAACUUUUUCGCAGAUGGAUGCAACUUUGCGCGACGAAUCUAAUGACGGUAAUUAAUUGAUGAUUGACUACAGUAAUGGUAUAGUAACUAGCGAAGGGGCACACGGUGCAGUGGCAAAGGCCACCCGCCCAGGGUUCAAACCCUCGGUGCCACACCUAAUUAAGCUUUAGGGGUUUCCCUUAAAGUAUUUCUAUAAAAAAAAAUGCUACAGUAACCAUCCUCUAAUCGUGCGGUCAAAUGCUUGAUUAGAUUCAUCUCGCAAAGUAGCGUAGGGGUCUGCAUUCAUUUAAUAUCCAUAAUUAAUAGUCAAACUUUGUGCUACUUUUUAACACAAGCAAACCAAACAAGGCCCUAUUUAUCGUUUUGACCGGAAACUAAGGUGAAUAUUUACCACCAUCUUGUGCAUGACCUAGGGAAGACAAUUUAUUUCCAUGAUCACUGAGUUAUUGUGGGGCAUGUUGGGCUUGUUGACUGACACCCUAAUUUUUUAAAAACUAUUUCAAGCUCCAACUGACAAAUGCUAUUGAUGAAAAUGUGGCCUAAAAAUGUCGCCAUAUUUCCUAUGAUUCAAGAAUAUCCCUUAUCUGCAAUUAUGUUGAACUGAGAGCAAGAUUGAGGUAAAACUAUGGUGCCUACUUUGCUCUGUCUAAUUGCAUCAUGUAUAUUUUCAAUGUUUCAUGGUUUGAUGCAAAUGCGUUUGAAUUUAAACCAGCAAAUGAGGUCAGUUUAGGAUCCAGGAUUUUGUUGUGCAUGCAUAUCUGAAGAAGGAAUUAAUGGUUAUGGGAUAUAUUCUUCUAACAUUUUACAUGUUCAUUGAUAUAUGUGUUUUGACUCUGAUUUCAGUAUGGACCCUAACGAAUCCAAUGAUGGGUCACAGGGAGCUUUUACUGGUGGCAACAUUCCUCCCUACCAGGCUGCCUGGAACCCGUACAUGUAUGGGUACCAAGCUCCUCCGUCCUGGUUCCCCCAAGGAGAGCAGCAGGUUCCACCCAAUGUCUCAAUGGUGUGUCCAGAAGCACGUAUGCAAAGCGUUGAGGUAGAUGUGGAGCAACAGCAAGUCUGCCCAGCACCUACAGGAAAGAGCGCAAAGAAAUGCAUCAGUAGGACCAAGUUAGGCAAUUUCAACCCAGAAGAUGUAAACCUUGUCAAGUCAUGGCUUGAAAUAAAUUGUAACUCUUUUUCUCAGCUUCUGCUCCCUCCUCUUUCUUUCUUGUAAGUAUUUCUUCUUGUAAUGUUCUUUUUAAUGCAAUUGCUGUGGGGAACUCCCCACAGUUUCCGUUCAAAAAAA